UGGGGAAUAUUGGACAAUGGGCGCAAGCCUGAUCCAGCCAUGCCGCGUGAGUGACGAAGGCCUUAGGGUUGUAAAACUCUUUCGUCGGGGACGAUAAUGACGGUACCCGAAGAAGAAGCUCCGGCUAACUUCGUGCCAGCAGCCGCGGUAAUACGAAGGGAGCUAGCGUUGUUCGGAAUCACUGGGCGUAAAGCGCACGUAGGCGGAUAGUUAAGUCAGGGGUGAAAUCCUGGGGCUCAACCCCAGAACUGCCUUUGAUACUGGCUGUCUCGAGGUCGAGAGAGGUUGGUGGAAUUCCUAGUGUAGAGGUGAAAUUCGUAGAUAUUAGGAAGAACACCAGUGGCGAAGGCGGCCAACUGGCUCGAUACUGACGCUGAGGUGCGAAAGCGUGGGGAGCAAACAGGAUUAGAUACCCUUGUAGUCCCUGAGCGGGCUGGCAAGGCGCAU
RNAcentral lists this ribosomal RNA (447 nucleotides) under uncultured bacterium. RNAcentral describes it as "bacterial SSU rRNA". It matches the Rfam family "Bacterial small subunit ribosomal RNA", at positions 355 to 825 of the family's 1533-position model. The record is from RNAcentral.